AUACGAAGGGGGCUAGCGUUGUUCGGAAUUACUGGGCGUAAAGCGCGCGUAGGCGGACUGGUCAGUUAGGGGUGAAAUCCCAGGGCUUAACCCUGGAACUGCCUCUAAUACUGUCAGUCUUGAGUUCGGGAGAGGUGAGUGGAAUUCCUAGUGUAGAGGUGAAAUUCGUAGAUAUUAGGGAGAACACCAGUGGCGAAGGCGGCUCACUGGCCCGAUACUGACGCUGAGGCGCGAAAGCGUGGGGAGCAAACAGGAUUAGAAACCCUAGUAGUCC
Molecule: ribosomal RNA, 274 nt
Filed under: uncultured bacterium
Lineage: Bacteria
Description: partial 16S ribosomal RNA
Rfam family: Bacterial small subunit ribosomal RNA
Source: RNAcentral